Molecule: ribosomal RNA, 462 nt
Filed under: uncultured bacterium
Lineage: Bacteria
Description: partial 16S ribosomal RNA
Rfam family: Bacterial small subunit ribosomal RNA
Source: RNAcentral
GAUGAACGCUGACAGAAUGCUUAACACAUGCAAGUCAUUGGCGAAGCUGCGCUUGCGCAGUCUAGCCAAGGCGGACGGGUGAGUAACGCGUAAGGAACUUGCCCUGCAGACAGGGAUAACAGACGGAAACGACUGAUAACACCUGGUAUUGUCAGGCUGGCGCAUGCCGGCCUGAUGAAAGGAGACGCUGCAGGAGAGCCUUGCGUCCUAUUAGCUAGUUGGUGGGGUAACGGCCCACCAAGGCGAUGAUAGGUAGCCGGCCUGAGAGGGUGAACGGCCACAAGGGGACUGAGAUACGGCCCUUACUCCUACGGGAGGCAGCAGUGGGGAAUAUUGGAUAAUGGGGGCAACCCUGAUCCAGCAAUUCUGUGUGCACGAAGAAGGUUUUCGGAUUGUAAAGUGCUUUCAGCAGGGAAGAAGAAAGUGACGGUACCUGCAGAAGAAGCGACGGCUAAAUACGUG